This 460-nucleotide ribosomal RNA is filed under the name uncultured bacterium. RNAcentral's name for it is "partial 16S ribosomal RNA". It matches the Rfam family "Bacterial small subunit ribosomal RNA", at positions 338 to 795 of the family's 1533-position model. The record is from RNAcentral.
CCUACGGGGAGCAGCAGUGAGGAAUAUUGGUCAAUGGACGAGAGUCUGAACCAGCCAAGUAGCGUGAAGGAUGACUGCCCUAUGGGUUGUAAACUUCUUUUAUAUGGGAAUAAAACGUUCCACGUGUGGGAUUUUGUAUGUACCAUAUGAAUAAGGAUUGGCUAACUCCGUGCCAGCAGCCGCGGUAAUACGGAGGAUCCGAGCGUUAUCCGGAUUUAUUGGGUUUAAAGGGAGCGUAGGUGGAUUGUUAAGUCAGUUGUGAAAGUUUGCGGCUCAACCGUAAAAUUGCAGUUGAAACUGGCAGUCUUGAGUACAGUAGAGGUGGGCGGAAUUCGUGGUGUAGCGGUGAAAUGCUUAGAUAUCACGAAGAACUCCGAUUGCGAAGGCAGUUCACUGGACUGCAACUGACACUGAGGCUCGAAAGUGUGGGUAUCAAACAGGAUUAGAUACCCUGGUAGUC